AAUUUGCCUGGAUUUAUUAGAUCUUAUCGC
Molecule: non-coding RNA, 30 nt
Filed under: Cricetulus griseus (Chinese hamster)
Lineage: Eukaryota; Metazoa; Chordata; Mammalia; Rodentia; Cricetidae
Source: RNAcentral